Molecule: ribosomal RNA, 492 nt
Filed under: uncultured bacterium
Lineage: Bacteria
Description: partial 16S ribosomal RNA
Rfam family: Bacterial small subunit ribosomal RNA
Source: RNAcentral
AGUGAACGCUGGCGGUAGGCCUAACACAUGCAAGUCGAACGGCAGCACAGUAAGAGCUUGCUCUUACGGGUGGCGAGUGGCGGACGGGUGAGGAAUACAUCGGAAUCUACUUUUUCGUGGGGGAUAACGUAGGGAAACUUACGCUAAUACCGCAUACGACCUACGGGUGAAAGCAGGGGAUCUUCGGACCUUGCGCGAUUGAAUGAGCCGAUGUCGGAUUAGCUAGUUGGCGGGGUAAAGGCCCACCAAGGCGACGAUCCGUAGCUGGUCUGAGAGGAUGGUCGGCCACACUGGAACUGGGACACGGUCCAGGCUCCUACGGGAGGCAGCAGUGGGGAAUAUUGGACAAUGGUCGCAAGCCUGAUCCAGCCAUACCGCGUGGGUGAAGAAGGCCUUCGGGUUGUAAAGCCCUUUUGUUGGGAAAGAAAAGCAGCAGGUUAAUACCCCGCUGUUCUGACGGUACCCAAAGAAUAAGCACCGGCUAACUUCGUG